GAACGAACGCUGGCGGCGUGCCUAAUACAUGCAAGUCGCACGAGAAAGUCCUUCGGGAUGAGUAGAGUGGCGCACGGGUGAGUAAUAUAUAGGAACGUACCAUAUGGUGGGGGAGUAACCACGGGAAACUGUGGCUAAUACCGCAUGAUGUCGAAAGACCAAAGCAUGCCUCUGUUUACAAGCAUGCGCCAAUUGAGCGGCCUAUAUCCCAUUAGCUAGUUGGUGAGGUAAUGGCUCACCAAGGCGACGAUGGGUAGCUGGUCUGAGAGGAUGAUCAGCCACACUGGGACUGAGACACGGCCCAGACUCCUACGGGAGGCAGCAGUAGGGAAUUUUGCACAAUGGGCGCAAGCCUGAUGCAGCAACGCCGCGUGAGUGAAGAAGGCUCUUGGGUCGUAAAGCUCUUUCGGCUGGGGGGAAGGGAUAUCCUGCGAACAGUUGGGUAUUCUGACAGUACCAGAAGAAGAAGCACCUGCUAACUACGUG
Molecule: ribosomal RNA, 486 nt
Filed under: uncultured bacterium
Lineage: Bacteria
Description: bacterial SSU rRNA
Rfam family: Bacterial small subunit ribosomal RNA
Source: RNAcentral